AUUGAACGCUGGCGGCAUGCCUUACACAUGCAAGUCGAACGGUAACAGGUCUUCGGAUGCUGACGAGUGGCGAACGGGUGAGUAAUACAUCGGAACGUGCCCGAUCGUGGGGGAUAACGAAGCGAAAGCUUUGCUAAUACCGCAUACGAUCUACGGAUGAAAGCAGGGGACCGCAAGGCCUUGCGCGAACGGAGCGGCCGAUGGCAGAUUAGGAGUUGGUGGGAUAAAAGCUUACCAAGCCGACGAUCUGUAGCUGGUCUGAGAGGACGACCAGCCACACUGGGACUGAGACACGGCCCAGACUCCUACGGGAGGCAGCAGUGGGGAAUUUUGGACAAUGGGCGCAAGCCUGAUCCAGCAAUGCCGCGUGCAGGAAGAAGGCCUCGGGUUGUAACUGCUUUGUACAGAACGAAAAGGCUACUGGUUAAUACCUGGGGCUCAUGACGGUACUGUAAGAAUAAGCACCGGCUAAC
This 473-nucleotide ribosomal RNA is filed under the name uncultured bacterium. Its description in RNAcentral is "bacterial SSU rRNA". It matches the Rfam family "Bacterial small subunit ribosomal RNA", at positions 30 to 501 of the family's 1533-position model. The record is from RNAcentral.